Molecule: ribosomal RNA, 2505 nt
Filed under: Triticum aestivum (bread wheat)
Lineage: Eukaryota; Viridiplantae; Streptophyta; Magnoliopsida; Poales; Poaceae
Description: partial small subunit ribosomal RNA
Source: RNAcentral
AUGGCGCCAACACGGUGGCUACUGCUUAUCUGUCUCGCCGGUGCGGCGGGUGGGGUACUCCAAGCUCGCGCCCAGCCUGACAGCAACGGGUUCAUAAGCAUAGACUGCGGCCUUCGAGGCAAGACGAGCUACUUGGAAGACACCACCAAAAUCCCCUAUACUCCGGAUGCCGGCUUCACCGACACCGGCACCAACCACAACAUCUCGGCCGAGUAUUUAACCCCGUCAACCGGCAGGAGCUGGCACAAUCUGCGAAGCUUCGCCACUGGCCCGCGCAAUUGCUACACGCUCCUCUCUCUCACGUCCGGACUCAAGUACCUCGUCUGCCUGGUGAACACAGGCGCCGGGACGCCCUUCAUCUCUAGCCUGAAGCUGAGGCUGCUGCACAGGACACUCUACCCGCAGGCAACCACGGCGCAGGGCCUCGUCCUCUCGUCCAGGCUCAACUUCGGCCCAACCAGCGAAAACAAUGUCAUCAGGUAUCCGGACAACCCACACGACAGAAUAUGGGUCCCUCAGGUCAACUCGGCAACCUGGACUGAGAUAACAACGAUGAACAUGGUGCAACACGAAGAAGGCGACUUGUUCGAAGUGCUGACUGCGGUGAUGCAGACGGCAAUCAUGCCGCGCCGGAAUGCGUCCAACGGCAUAGAGUUCUCCUGGGAUCCCGUGGCGCAGUCGAACGACCCAUCGCCGGGGUACAUCGCCAUCAUGCACUUCUCCGAGCUGCAGCUCCUCACAAGCAACAACGUGCGCGAAUUCUUCGUCAGCAUCAACGGCGAGCCAUGGCACCCAAACGGCUUCACGCCCAAGUACCUCUAUGGCAGCGCCACUUACAAUAGCUUGCCCUCUCGGAAGAGCCAGUACAACAUCUCCAUCAUCGCCGCACCCAACUCAACACUGCCACCUAUACUCAACGCUCUUGAGGUGUUCUACGUCAUCCCUACUAUCAUCAUCGGCACAGACUCCAGGGAUGUGUCUGCCAUGGCUGCGAUCAAGACAAAGUAUAAGGUGAUGAAGAACUGGAUGGGUGACCCAUGCGUUCCUAAUAAUAUGGUAUGGGAUACGUUGACUUGUGACUAUGCCAAUGCAAGCCCUCCAAGGGUCAGAAGCAUAAACAUGUCCUCCAAUCGUCUCAGUGGUGAUAUAUCCUCUUCUUUUGCAAGCCUCGAGAACAUCCAAUACUUGAAUCUGUCAAAUAAUAAUUUGAUAGGCUCAAUCCCAUAUGCUCUUUCACAGUUAAAAUCACUGACAGUUCUAGAUUUGUUAGGUAACCAGCUCAGUGGAUCAAUGCCCUCUGGACUUCUCAAAAGAGUUCAAGAUGGCUCCCUGAAUCUAAGCAAGCUGAUCAUCAAAAUUGUUGCCCCUGUAAUUGUGGUUGUGGUGGUAGCAAUGGCACUAAUCUUUUACUUUCUGAGGCGAAAAAAACAAGGUGAGCCACAAAAUGAUCCGAUGGCGAGCUAUGCAUCAGGAAGCGAUGUCUACGGGGACGGCUCGCUGCGACUUGAGAGUCGUCGGUUCACAUAUGAAGAGCUCAAGAUGAUAACGAACAACUUCCAGCGAGUACUCGGUCGAGGAGGGUUCGGGUACGUCUAUGAUGGUUUCCUAGAAGAUGGCACUCAGGUGGCAGUGAAACUGCGCUCUCAGUCUUCCAAUCAAGGCGUUAAGGAGUUCCUCGCGGAGGCUCAUAUUUUGACCCGAAUUCACCACAAGAAUCUUGUCUCCAUGAUUGGUUACUGCAAUGACGGGGAGUACAUGGCACUUUUCUAUGAGUACAUAAAAAACAUCGAGGGAUGUUUACCCUGGAGACGGAGACUCCGAAUUGCACUUGAAUCUGCGGAAGGAUUAGAGUAUCUGCAUAAGGGAUGCAACCCACCCUUGAUUCAUAGGGAUGUGAAGGCCACAAACAUCCUCUUAAACACGAAGCUGGAGGCUAGGAUUGCCGACUUCGGACUGUCCAAGGCCUUCAAUAGUGAGAGUGACACCUAUGUGUCCACAAACACACUUGUGGGCACGCCGGGAUAUGUCGAUCCUGACGAUGUGUAUAGCUUUGGUGUUGUCCUUUUGGAGUUGAUUACAGGGAAGCCAGCCAUACUGCGGGAGGCAGAGCCAACUAGCAUCAUCCAGUGGGCAAGAAAACGGAUGGCACUAGGCAACAUUGAAAGUGUGGUUGAUGCGCGCAUGCGUGGAAUAUACGAUGUCAACAGUGUGUGGAAGGUGGCAGAUGUCGCACUAAAGUGCACCUCGUAUGCGUCGACGCAACGACCCACAAUGACAGAUGUUGUGGCACAGCUACAGGAGUGCAUCGAGCUCGAGGAGGGCCAUGCCAGUGGAGACAUGAAUGUCGAAUUACACACCACUGGUAGCGGGGGCAACCCGAAUCUGAGUUAUGGUUCUUAUGGAGGUGACCAGUCCGCUGAUAUAAGCCAGAGCAGCACCGCAUUUGACAUGGAAGAAAAUGCUAAGAGGGUACUUGCAAUGUCCAUGGGUCUUGUUGCACGUUAA